Non-coding RNA from Mesocricetus auratus (golden hamster), 73 nucleotides. Lineage: Eukaryota; Metazoa; Chordata; Mammalia; Rodentia; Cricetidae. The record is from Rfam.
GAAGAGAUGGCUCAGCAGUUAAGAGCACUGGCAGUUCUUCCAGAGGACCUGGGUUCAAUUCCCAGUAACCACA